Molecule: non-coding RNA, 30 nt
Filed under: Homo sapiens (human)
Lineage: Eukaryota; Metazoa; Chordata; Mammalia; Primates; Hominidae
Source: RNAcentral
UCAGAGCCCUUGGAAGGCUGUGCCUAGAUA